RNAcentral lists this ribosomal RNA (404 nucleotides) under uncultured prokaryote. Its description in RNAcentral is "bacterial SSU rRNA". It matches the Rfam family "Bacterial small subunit ribosomal RNA", at positions 355 to 774 of the family's 1533-position model. The record is from RNAcentral.
UCGAGAAUCUUCCGCAAUGGGCGAAAGCCUGACGGAGCAAUGCCGCGUGAGGGAUGAAGGCCUUCGGGUUGUAAACCUCUGUCGCCCGGGACGAAUCAAUGACGGUACCGGGAGAGGAAGCUACGGCUAACUACGUGCCAGCAGCCGCGGUAAUACGUAGGUAGCGAGCGUUAUUCGGAUUUACUGGGCGUAAAGGGUCCGCAGGAGGCCUGCCAAGUCUGAUGUGAAAGCCCACGGCUCAACUGUGGAACGGCAUCGGAAACUGGCGGGCUCGAGUGCACGAGGGGAAAGCGGAAUUCCAGGUGUAGCGGUGGAAUGCGUAGAUAUCUGGAGGAACACCGAUGGCGAAGGCGGCUUUCUGGCGUGCAACUGACUCUCAUGGACGAAAGUGUGGGUAGCAAACA